UAGGGAAUCUUCCGCAAUGGGCGAAAGCCUGACGGAGCAACGCCGCGUGAGUGAUGAAGUUCUUCGGAUCGUAAAACUCUGUUAUUAGGGAAGAACAAAUGUGUAAGUAACUAUGCACGUCUUGACGGUACCUAAUCAGAAAGCCACGGCUAACUACGUGCCAGCAGCCGCGGUAAUACGUAGGUGGCAAGCGUUAUCCGGAAUUAUUGGGCGUAAAGCGCGCGUAGGCGGUUUUUUAAGUCUGAUGUGAAAGCCCACGGCUCAACCGUGGAGGGUCAUUGGAAACUGGAAAGCUUGAGUGCAGAAGAGGAAAGUGGAAUUCCAUGUGUAGCGGUGAAAUGCGCAGAGAUAUGGAGGAACACCAGUGGCGAAGGCGACUUUCUGGUAUGUAACUGACGCUGAUGUGCGAAAGCGUGGGGAUCAAACAGG
This 429-nucleotide ribosomal RNA is filed under the name Actinomycetes bacterium. RNAcentral's name for it is "Actinobacteria bacterium partial 16S ribosomal RNA". It matches the Rfam family "Bacterial small subunit ribosomal RNA", at positions 355 to 776 of the family's 1533-position model. The record is from RNAcentral. Lineage: Bacteria; Bacillati; Actinomycetota; Actinomycetes.